GACAGAGGGUGCAAACGUUGUUCGGAAUUACUGGGCGUAAAGCGCGUGUAGGCGGCUAAGUAAGUCGGGCGUGAAAUCCCACGGCUCAACCGUGGAAGUGCACUCGAAACUGCAUAGCUAGAGUCCUGGAGAGGAAGGUGGAAUGCUUGGUGUAGAGGUGAAAUUCGUAGAUAUCAAGCGGAACACCGGUGGCGAAGGCGGCCUUCUGGACAGUGACUGACGCUGAGACGCGACAGCGUGGGGAGCAAACAGG
This 253-nucleotide ribosomal RNA is filed under the name uncultured bacterium. RNAcentral's name for it is "partial 16S ribosomal RNA". It matches the Rfam family "Bacterial small subunit ribosomal RNA", at positions 524 to 776 of the family's 1533-position model. The record is from RNAcentral.